Pelobates cultripes (western spadefoot toad) is the source of this 1339-nucleotide non-coding RNA. The record is from the annotation of a GenBank genome assembly. Lineage: Eukaryota; Metazoa; Chordata; Amphibia; Anura; Pelobatidae.
GGGGAAAGGGGUGUUCUAAGUUUUGGGGAAAUUGUGUGGUCUCUGCCUGGAGAUAAUUGGUUUAUUUCUUAACUUAUCUCAAUAUCUCCCAGGCAGAGAGAGGGCGUGUAUUACUGUAAAUAUGUAUGUUGAUUGGCUGUUGUCUUUGUUUGCUGUGGGAGGUCCUCUUGCAGGAGGAUUUCUCAUAAAAGCCUGUGUGUUUUCAAUAAACUUCAUUCCUGUUACACCCUUCAUGAAGUCUAGGCUCAUGUUUGGGGGAUAUUCUAUUUGCUGGGAAGACUCAUCUUGGAACUGCAUUCAUCUAUCCUAUUCCUCUGCUCCCUGUUGCAGCUAUAAUCACUUAUGCUCAGCUGUUGGGAAAAGGAACAGAAGACCGCAGCACCACAGCCACUGCAGGUCUUAACUGGUGGCAACGAUGGGAUUGAAUGGAAGGCAUAAAGACAACUGGUGAAUGGCCCAGCAGUACGAGAAUCUAAAAAGGACUACACUAAAGGAUCUGCUGGAAGCCAGAGGUCAUGUGGCCAGCAACAAAAAGAAAGCUACCCUCUUAGCAGAACUGAUGGAGGGCGACCAAACCAGCAGCAUGGCGAAUGUCAGCCAGGAGGAAGCAGAAUUCCAACAGAAGGUGAUGUGGAGGCUAAACCUAUAUGGGCCAAAUCCCACACCUGAGAUGGUGACGCAAGUCCUGGCACAAGUGAGUGCAGAACGCAGAGCACAACAGGCAAGCUUGAACCAAGGAGACAACGCUUCCUUAGCUGGAUUUAUAAAUGGAGGGCAGCGGAGAAAGAUUAAUUACGCUGCUUUUAAAAGUUUCUCGGAUGGAGAGAUGGAAAUUGACGCAUAUUUACAAGAUUUUGAGCGUCAAUGCGCUUUGGAGGGUCUGGAGUCAGAGCAAUGGGCCGCGAUUUUAAGCAGCAAGCUCACAGGCCGAGCAGCAGAGGCGUACCGAGCAGUUCCUGACACAGCUAUACACGACUACGCCAGGGUAAAGGACAUUCUGCUAGCCAGGUAUGCCGUGACCCCAGAGACUUACAGGAAAAAGUUUCGGGCAUUACGGAAAGGGGGCAGAGACUCCUACACUGAAUGGGCCUUUAGGAUGUAUCGGGCAGCCCAAAACUGGAUACAGGGCUGCCAGGCCACAACGCUAGAGGAGGUGCUGCAACUCCUCUUGCUAGAACAAUUUUUUGACCACACACCUGCAGACACCAGGGACUGGGUCAGAGACAGGAAGCCGACCACAGUUGAGGAAGCGGCCAAGCUAGCAGACGAGCAUCACGAGGGAAGAAAAGGAGAGGCUAGUGGAAACCAUCCUCUGGUAAGGUACAGCGCUCCAACGCCA